AGAGUUUGAUCCUGGCUCAGAUUGAACGCUGGCGGCAUGCCUUACACAUGCAAGUCGAACGGUAACGCGGGGGCAACCCUGGCGACGAGUGGCGAACGGGUGAGUAAUACAUCGGAACAUAUCCAGUAGCGGGGGAUAACCUAUCGAAAGAUGGACUAAUACCGCAUACGAUCUACGGAUGAAAGCAGGGGACCGCAAGGCCUUGCACUAUUGGAGUGGCCGAUGUCGGAUUAGCUAGUUGGCGGGGUAAAAGCCUACCAAGGCGACGAUCCGUAGCUGGUCUGAGAAGACGAUCAGCCACACUGGAACUGAGACACGGUCCAGACUCCUACGGGAGGCAGCAGUGGGGAAUUUUGGACAAUGGGCGCAAGCCUGAUCCAGCCAUGCCGCGUGAGUGAAGAAGGCCUUCGGGUUGUAAAGCUCUUUCGGUGAAGACGAAACGGUUCAUGCUAAUAACGUGAACUAAUGACGGUACUCACAGAAGAAGCACCGGCUAACUACGUGCCAGCAGCCGCGGUAAUACGUAGGGUGCAGGCGUUAAUCGGAAUUACUGGGCGUAAAGCGUGCGCAGGCGGUUUGCUAAGACAGGUGUGAAAUCCCCGGGCUUAACCUGGGAAUUGCGCUUGUAACUGGCAAGCUAGAGUGUGGCAGAGGGGGGUGGAAUUCCACGUGUAGCAGUGAAAUGCGUAGAUAUGUGGAGGAACACCGAUGGCGAAGGCAGCCCCCUGGGUUAACACUGACGCUCAUGCACGAAAGCGUGGGGAGCAAACAGGAUUAGAUACCCUGGUAGUCCACGCCCUAAACUAUGUCAACUAGUUGUCGGGGAAGAAAUUCCUUGGUAACGAAGCUAACGCGUGAAGUUGACCGCCUGGGGAGUACGGCCGCAAGGUUAAAACUCAAAGGAAUUGACGGGGACCCGCACAAGCGGUGGAUUAUGUGGAUUAAUUCGAUGCAACGCGAAAAACCUUACCUACCCUUGACAUGCUAGGAAGCCCGCAGAGAUGUGGGUGUGCCCGAAAGGGAACCUAGACACAGGUGCUGCAUGGCUGUCGUCAGCUCGUGUCGUGAGAUGUUGGGUUAAGUCCUGCAACGAGCGCAACCCUUGCCAUUAGUUGCUACAUUCAGUUGGGCACUCUAAUGGGACCGCCGGUGACAAACCGGAGGAAGGUGGGGAUGACGUCAAGUCCUCAUGGCCCUUAUGGGUAGGGCUUCACACGUAAUACAAUGGUCGGUACAGAGGGCUGCCAACCCGCAAGGGGGAGCUAAUCCAGAAAGCCGAUCGUAGUCCGGAUUGUAGUCUGCAACUCGACUGCAUGAAGCCGGAAUCGCUAGUAAUCGCGGAUCAGCAUGUCGCGGUGAAUACGUUCCCGGGUCUUGUACACACCGCCCGUCACACCAUGGGAGUGGGUUCCACCAGAAGUAGUUAGCCUAACCGCAAGGAGGGCGAUUACCACGGUGAGAUUUAUGACUGGGGUGAAGUCGUAACAAGGUA
RNAcentral lists this ribosomal RNA (1492 nucleotides) under metagenome. Its description in RNAcentral is "bacterial SSU rRNA". It matches the Rfam family "Bacterial small subunit ribosomal RNA". The record is from RNAcentral.